This 705-nucleotide small RNA is filed under the name Pongo abelii (Sumatran orangutan). Its description in RNAcentral is "processed transcript". The record is from RNAcentral. Lineage: Eukaryota; Metazoa; Chordata; Mammalia; Primates; Hominidae.
GCGCGCUGGAGCUGACCUCUCCCGGCGGCGGGCGGUUAGGGGAAAGUACCUGGGAGAAAGGUAGAGGAGGUAAGGGGACCCUUGGGGGGUGCCCCUACGGGCUACCAGGGUUGAACGCACAGGCAUGGUCACGUCGGGGUAUUGCCAAGCUUUUGGCGCAGCUGGUCGGGUGGCCAGGCUGCAUGCGGCUUAGCAGGAGACGUCCUGGGCUGUUUGCGCAGGACCUCUGGAGGCCCUCGAGAUGGUCGCAAGCGGAAAGGUGCUGGAGAAUCUGGUAAAAGCACCAUUGUGAAGCAGAUGAGGAUCCUGCAUGUUAAUGGGUUUAAUGGAGAUGAGAAGGCAACCAAAGUGCAGGACAUCAAAAACAACCUGAAAGAGGCGAUUGAAACCAUUGUGGCCGCCAUGAGCAACCUGGUGCCCCCCGUGGAGCUGGCCAACCCCGAGAACCAGUUCAGAGUGGACUACAUUCUGAGUGUGAUGAACGUGCCUGACUUUGACUUCCCUCCCGAAUUCUAUGAGCACGCCAAGGCUCUGUGGGAGGAUGAAGGAGUGCGUGCCUGCUACGAACGCUCCAACGAGUACCAGCUGAUUGACUGUGCCCAGUACUUCCUGGACAAGAUCGAUGUGAUCAAGCAGGCUGACUAUGUGCCGAGCGAUCAGGACCUGCUUCGCUGCCGCGUCCUGACUUCUGGAAUCUUUGAGACC